This 359-nucleotide ribosomal RNA is filed under the name unidentified. RNAcentral describes it as "Platyroptilon sp. 1 NB-2020 partial 12S ribosomal RNA". The record is from RNAcentral.
UUAAAAUGUAAUUAAAAAAGUUAGAGUAGUAUUAGUUAAUUUCUUAAAACUUAAAAAUUUUGGCGGUAUUUUAUUCUUUUUAGAGGAACUUGUUUUGUAAUCGAUAAUCCUCGUUUUAUCUUACUUAAAUUUGUUUAAUUUGUAUAUCGUUGUCAUAAGAAUAUCUUAAAGAAGAAAUAAUAUUCUAGUUUAAGAAUUUUUUAAAAUGUCAGAUCAAGGUGCAGUUUAUAUUUAAGUAGAAAUGAGUUACAAUUUUGUAAAUAAUUUUUAUGGAGUAAAGUUUUAAAUAAUUUUAUGAAAGUGGAUUUAAAAGUAAAUAUUUUUUAAUAAAGAAUGUUGAUAUUAGUUUUAAAAUAUGU